Molecule: long non-coding RNA, 718 nt
Organism: Rhineura floridana
Lineage: Eukaryota; Metazoa; Chordata; Lepidosauria; Squamata; Rhineuridae
Exons: 3
Source: RefSeq, a predicted model, not a curated record
UCACUUUUUAUACGGAGUUUGAAACUAAACGUGUCUCCGCGUCUCUGCUAUAGGCGGCAGACCUUCUCGCUCCGCCUUUCGGGGUGGAAACGACUCGCUGGUUGGCUGUGUUUGAAGUUGGUGUUUCCAAUCAAGUGGAGAAGAGGAGAGGAUCUCGGCGACUUUUAAAAGUUUCUAACGCCCGUCCAUGCUUCUAGACGCAACAUUCAUCUAUCGUCUUAGCCCGGAGCUUGGGCGCGGUGGAAAUGAUGCUUUGACAAAGUAAUAGCGACCAGGUUUUCAAGGUCCACACUUCUUGCUCAGUGGUAGUUUCCAAUCUGCUGUUUUCCAUUCACACAGGGUCACAAGAUUGCCUUUGGAGCACUUCGAAGUCCGCUUUGCUCUUCAUCAUCCUGAAUAAUUUACUGUUACCUGCAAUCUUAACCAUUGUACAUCAUCCCUGACUCCAAAUUGUUUUAUGAGCAAGUUAAACAGCACCCAUCCCAACACAAAGCCUUGAGACCUGCGUUGCUUUCUUCCCUCCGCUGUGAGUAAAGUCCAGGUAUAGAAUACUUAUCACAAACCCCCUUCCAUGUGCUUUGAUGGCGCUCUGAAAGAAGUUUAAAAGGUUGGUGGAGUCGGACUUCCCUUUUCAAAAGACAAGCUGAUUCUUGCUCAGUAAGACUUGUUCUUCUGUAUGUUAAUAAUUCUAGCUUUAGUUACACUUUCCACCAAUUUA